AGCUCACGGAAGAGUUGAAGCAGCAUAUUACAAAGGUGCUCAUUGGACGAGAGGAUUUUAAAGAUGAAAAAUGGAGGAAGUUGGUCCUGUAUCUGCUCAUCAAGAUUAUGGAGAUGGAGAGGGGCAAGGAAGAAACUGCCACAGCAACCCCAGGCUUCAGUAGCCACCGCCCUGAUCAUCAGUCAGCAGCCGUCAGCACUGGCACAAGACCCUCCACCAGCAAAAAGAUUAUGACUCACUAAAGGCUCCGAUGAUGGUUAGUAUUUUUUAGCAAUAAAGUAUUUUAAAAUUAAGGUAUGUACAUUGUCUUUUAGAUAUAAUGCUAUUGUACACUUCAUAGACUACAGUAAAAAGUGUAAACGUAACUUUUAUAUGUACUGGGAAACUAAAAGAACUAUGUCCCUCACUUUAUUGUGGUAUUCACUUUAUUGCAUUGAUCUGGAUCUGAACCUGCGAUAUCUCCAAGGUAUGCCUGUGUAUAAACAAAUAUUCCCUAGGCAUGGUGAGCAGUCAGCUUAUUUGAACUGUCAACAUAGAUAGU
Molecule: long non-coding RNA, 541 nt
Organism: Aethalodelphis obliquidens (Pacific white-sided dolphin)
Lineage: Eukaryota; Metazoa; Chordata; Mammalia; Artiodactyla; Delphinidae
Exons: 3
Source: RefSeq, a predicted model, not a curated record